CCCACUGUCCCUGUCUACUAUCCAG
This 25-nucleotide non-coding RNA is filed under the name Arabidopsis thaliana (thale cress). Lineage: Eukaryota; Viridiplantae; Streptophyta; Magnoliopsida; Brassicales; Brassicaceae. The record is from RNAcentral.